Molecule: transfer RNA, 74 nt
Filed under: marine sediment metagenome
Description: tRNA-Pro
Rfam family: tRNA
About the family: Transfer RNA (tRNA) molecules are approximately 80 nucleotides in length. Their secondary structure includes four short double-helical elements and three loops (D, anti-codon, and T loops).
Source: RNAcentral
CAGGGUGUAGUUCAGUCCGGUGGAACGCCUGGUUUGGGACCAGGAGGGCGUAGGUUCAAAUCCUACCAUCCUGA